RNAcentral lists this ribosomal RNA (935 nucleotides) under uncultured eukaryote. RNAcentral describes it as "SSU rRNA". It matches the Rfam family "Eukaryotic small subunit ribosomal RNA", at positions 3 to 940 of the family's 1831-position model. The record is from RNAcentral.
CCUGGUUGAUCCUGCCAGUGGUCAUACGCUUGUCUCAAAGAUCAAGCCAUGCAUGUCUAAGCAUAAGCUGAAAGAAAGUGAAGCCGCGAACAGCUCAUUACAACAGCCAUUGUUUACUUGAUCUUGAAAUCCUACUUGGAUAACUGUGGCAAUUCUAGAGCUAAUACACGCAAUCAAGCUCCGACCCUUUGGGGGACGAGUGCAUUUAUUAGAACAAAACCAAUCGGGCUUCGGCUCGUACAUUGGUGAAUCUGAAUAACUCAGCAGAUCGCACGGUCUUGUACCAGCGACGCAUCUUUCAAGUGUCUGCCUUAUCAACUGUUGAUGGUAGUUUAUGCGACUACCAUGGUUGUAACGGGUAACGGAGAAUAAGGGUUCGACUCCGGAGAGGGAGCCUGAGAAAUGGCUACCACAUCCAAGGAAGGCAGCAGGCGCGUAAAUUACCCACUCUCGGCAUGAGGAGGUAGUGACGAAAAAUAACGAGACGGUUCUCAUUGAGGCCCAUUAUUGGAAUGAGUACAAUCCAAACCCUUGUACGAGGGUCAAUCAGAGGGCAAGUCUGGUGCCAGCAGCCGCGGUAAUUCCAGCUCUGAAGGUGCAUACCUAUGUUGUUGCGGUUAAAAUGCUCGUAGUUGGAUCUAUGUUCGUGGGGUUGGUGUUCUCGUUUGAGAUCUACUGACUACCCGAACUGAAACAGCUGGUUUUCCCUUGGUGCUCUUUACUGAGUGCCUUUGGUGGCUAGCAAGUUUACUUUGAAAAAAUUAGAGUGCUCAAAACAGGCGCCUGCCUGAAUAGUGGUGCAUGGAAUAAUGGAAUAGGAUCUUUGGUCCUAUUUUGUUGGUUUUCGGGAGCCAAGAUAAUGAUUAAGAGGGACAGACGGGGGCAUUCGUAUUGCAGCGUUAGAGGUGAAAUUCUUGGAUCGUUGCAAGACGAAC